GAUAAAAUCAGCUAAAUAAGCUCUCGGGCCCAUACCCCGAAAAUGAUGGUUAGACCCCAUCCUUUAUCA
This 69-nucleotide transfer RNA is filed under the name Devario aequipinnatus. RNAcentral's name for it is "tRNA-Met". It matches the Rfam family "tRNA". From Rfam's summary of the family: Transfer RNA (tRNA) molecules are approximately 80 nucleotides in length. RNAcentral also lists the same sequence under 1 other name. The record is from RNAcentral. Lineage: Eukaryota; Metazoa; Chordata; Actinopteri; Cypriniformes; Danionidae.